CCCUUAGAUGUUCUGGGCCGCACGCGCGCUACACUGACGGAGGCAGCGAGCAUGUCCUUCGCCGAGAGGUGUGGGGAAUCUUGUGAGUCUCCGUCGUGCCGGGGAUAGAUGGUUGCAAUUGUCGAUCUUGAACGAGGAAUUCCUAGUAAGCGCGAGUCAUCAGCUCGCGCUGAUUACGUCCCUGCCCUUUGUACACACCGCCCGUCGCUACUACCGAUUGGAUGGUUUAGCGAGAAAUUUGGACCGGAGCUCGGGUGGUCAGCGAUGGCCGCCCGAGAUGUCCCGGGAAAUCUUUCCAGCUUGAUCAUCUAGAGGAAGUAAAAGUCGUAACA
RNAcentral lists this ribosomal RNA (332 nucleotides) under uncultured eukaryote. RNAcentral describes it as "partial 18S ribosomal RNA". It matches the Rfam family "Eukaryotic small subunit ribosomal RNA", at positions 1470 to 1796 of the family's 1831-position model. The record is from RNAcentral.